UAUCAUUUUCUCAAAGAAUUU
This 21-nucleotide non-coding RNA is filed under the name Caenorhabditis elegans. The record is from RNAcentral. Lineage: Eukaryota; Metazoa; Nematoda; Chromadorea; Rhabditida; Rhabditidae.